GACGAACGCUGGCGGCGUGCUUAACACAUGCAAGUCGAACGGAAAGGCCCUGCUUUUGUGGGGUGCUCGAGUGGCGAACGGGUGAGUAACACGUGAGUAACCUGCCCUUGACUUUGGGAUAACUUCAGGAAACUGGGGCUAAUACCGGAUAGGAGCUCCUGCUGCAGUGUGGGGGGGGGAAAGUUUCGGCGGGUGGGGAUGGACUCGCGGCUUAUCAGCUUGUUGGUGGGGUAGUGGCUUACCAAGGCUUUGACGGGUAGCCGGCCUGGGAGGGUGACCGGCCACAUUGGGACUGAGAUACGGCCCAGACUCCUACGGGAGGCAGCAGUGGGGAAUAAUGCACAAUGGGCGGAAGCCUGAUGCAGCAACGCCGCGUGCGGGAUGACGGCCUUCGGGUUGUAAACCGCUUUCGCCUGUGACGAAGCGUGAGUGACGGUAAUGGGUAAAGAAGCACCGGCUAACUACGUG
RNAcentral lists this ribosomal RNA (468 nucleotides) under uncultured bacterium. RNAcentral's name for it is "partial 16S ribosomal RNA". It matches the Rfam family "Bacterial small subunit ribosomal RNA", at positions 28 to 507 of the family's 1533-position model. The record is from RNAcentral.